This 415-nucleotide ribosomal RNA is filed under the name Arrhenophagus albitibiae. RNAcentral describes it as "eukaryotic LSU rRNA". The stretch from base 1 to 90 matches the Rfam family "5.8S ribosomal RNA", at positions 66 to 154 of the family's 154-position model. The record is from RNAcentral. Lineage: Eukaryota; Metazoa; Arthropoda; Insecta; Hymenoptera; Encyrtidae.
UGUGAACUGCAGGACACAUGAACAUCGACACUUUGAACGCACAUUGCGGUCCGUGGAUUAACGUCCCGGACCACGUCUGGCUGAGGGUCGUGCAAUAAAUAUAACCAGACUGCUCUCGCGCUUGGUUGUUUUUAACAAAACAAACCCACGUUUUCGAAAGCGAAAGACWGAACGUUCGUCGGCUAAUAAUUUUAUAUUAUUUCGCCAGCGUCGUUUUAAAUAAUUAUUAUAUUCCAACGUUACGGACGUUUUUAAGCUCGUUUACAUGCAUAACGUUGCGUUCGAGAACUCAUUUUAGAGUGAACCGGCGAGUAUAUGCAAAAUGAGAGCUGGUCUUUUAGCGUUGAUAAUAAAAUAAUAAAUAAUUUUUACGACGACCUCAGAGCAGGCGAGACUACCCCCUAAAUUUAAGCAU